UUUAAUGAGAGUUUGAUCCUGGCUCAGGACGAACGCUGGUGGCGUGCCUAAUACAUGCAAGUAGAACGCUGAAGUCUGGUGCUUGCACUAGACGGAUGAGUUGCGAACGGGUGAGUAACGCGUAGGUAACCUGCCUCAUAGCGGGGGAUAACUAUUGGA
This 159-nucleotide ribosomal RNA is filed under the name Streptococcus suis. Its description in RNAcentral is "partial 16S ribosomal RNA". It matches the Rfam family "Bacterial small subunit ribosomal RNA", at positions 1 to 154 of the family's 1533-position model. Lineage: Bacteria; Bacillati; Bacillota; Bacilli; Lactobacillales; Streptococcaceae. The record is from RNAcentral.